AGCUUAUGCCCAAACAAAUUUGUUAGUUUCUAAGGUGCCACAAGUACUCCUUUUCUUUUUGUUGAUACAGACUAACACAGCUACCACUCUGAAACCUGAUAACAGAGUGAACCUCACCUGAGAGAAAUCAGGCAAUUCCCGAUAAAGAGCAGAAGGUGACUGCAGUAAUAGACCAGAGCCAGGCUUAAGUGGUGAUAAAGCUCAGCUGGGAAAAGUUCUGGAAGGAGAGCUAGGCAGAAAGCUUAGGGAUUAAGGCCAGCUCUCCAGGUAGGCAGGACUGGGAGAGACCCUGAUUAAGCAGGGAAGAGAUGGAAUCACCAAGAGGAGACCUUAAAAGGCUGGAUAGGAAGUAGCCAAGAGAAAACUGCAGCUCAGCUCUGAGGCUUUACAAAAACACAAAUGACAGGAGAGCUGGCAACACUGUGACAGGAACCUUGUUUUUCGCAGUCUCCCUUUCUGUGGCUGGCUCUUUAUAUGUGUUGGAAUCAAGAAGCUGCAGCCUUAAGGGGGACAUUAUGGAAAUAACUGCACCUCUCUUCCAGCUGAGGCUCGCUAUUUUCUUCCAUUCCUGGAAAGCUGUGGUUUCUUUUAUGUUACAGCAGUGAGUUUCAAGCUGACAAAGUAUUGGAAGAUUUGAAUGAGCGAGAGCUGGAAGACUGAGAGAAAAAAUUUAAAUAUUUUAUUCACAAUAUAAAUCACUUCAGUUUAUCAUGAAGACCAGAUGACAACAAAUUGCCUCAAUCAAAGUCAGAGUGAGAGGAAGAUCCUGCCCUGUACUGUGCAGGAGCACUGGAAGAGGAAGCCAAUUCUCACCCUGCAUGAGCAGCAAAGCAGAAUCUCUCUCUAGCCCUCAGGAGAGUGCUAAGAGCAACCCCUGGUUCCCAUGUUGGCCUGUGCACCACAUAGUUAUGAUCAGUAUCUUCCCAUGUUAUGAAAAAUAUUUUUACAUAUGGCUGAACUGUACUGGACAUUCACAUGACUGGACUGUACAGGACAUUAAUGUUUUGAAGUAGACAACAUUCCAGAACCGCUACCAGUUUUUGUGCCAUUACAUUGAUGUUGUAUUCUGUAUCACAUUGUGUAAUUUGUACCUAGCUAAGAUUAUUUGCUCUGGCCAAUCUGUGUCAGGUAAUUGUUGACUCUUUCAAGAAUAUAUAGAUAGGUCUGUACAUUUGUCUCCUUCUUUCUCAUAUAAUUCCUAAUGGCCCCUCAGACUCUGGUCCUGGACUUCAUCUCAGAAACCACUAGCUCUUCAUCCUCCAUUGAUCCUGGCGUUAGGGAUUCCAAACUCUGCAAUAUUACUCGCUUAACAGCUUCCACUGUACAAUCUGUCACAUACAUCUUACUAAUAAGAGCUAUGACUGCAACUGGAAAGAGAGCUCCCAAGUCAGCUAUGUUUUAGUUGGAUAAUGUGUGUCUGAUUUAUAAGCCUGAGAAAAUGAGCAUAUAAUGGAAUAGAACUUUGUUCUCCUAUUUGGGAGCCUCUAGCUAACUGUUCUUAGUGUGACAGAUAGGGCAAUUUCCCACAAUAUCCUUGAAAAGAUUUAUUGAAUUAAGUUUAAGUAUCUUUGGAGUCCAUUGUAUUAAGUGCAAACUAUAUGUAUUAUUGUGGGAUUGUAUGUAACUUCUCUAGUGGGGAAACAUGGCCAAGGUAAAUCUUGGAAAGUAUUAUGAAUCUCAAAGGACUAUUUUAAACAAUAUGCCAGGCAAGAAGGAACUUUUGAGACAAGUAAAAUUGAGUGGGCUUCUUAGGCAGUAACUGGAGGAAGGUGAAUGCAAAUUACCACUUCCAAAUCCAACCUUUUGAAGCUGUGCCCUGAGGAGAAAACUAGUGUCUGCUGAUUACCAAUUCCCAGACUAUGAAGUUCGAAAGCUCAAACUGUAUAAAGAAAACACUGACCCUUUCAGGGUUGUUUUUGUUCUGAGACAACAUUGUUGUGAACUUGUAACCACAGAAACUCCUCUUGGUGGGGGCUAAAGGACGGAUUGCAUACCAUUUAUGCUGUGCAUAAGCUGUCAGGGAGAAAGCAAUCCAUAGACUCUAGCUGUUUAGGCUGUCUGGCUUGCUGGGAAUAACAUAGUUUAAGGAACUGUACAGCCUGGAAAAAAAUGGGUCAGGAGGUAGAGGGACCUGGGUGUCUACCCAAGAGAGGUGACAGCUGAGAAGUCAGAAACCUAGAGUGGAUGUCCUUAUUGGACUAUGAGGAUGAAAUACAGGUGCAGUUGCCCUGAACCAUAACACUCGGCACAUAAUUUAACUUCUUUUCGUUCCGGUCUUAGUAGCAUUAUCAACAACUAUUGGUUGCAAAUACCUUCCUACCACGGUGGUCUGUGAUCUUAUCAUGUCUUAUCCAGUAAGCAGUGUAUGGUCUGGUCAGUAUCUGGCUGGGAAACAUCUAUGGGAAUUUUAUUGCUCUGCAGGAAGUGGUGCUGCUGAUUUAGUGCAGUAGGUGGCAGUGUUCCUCUCUGAUUUAGUGCUGAACAGAGCUAGUAAAAAAACUGGGGGGGAAAUUAUUAAAAUUUUAAUAAAAAAACCUGUC
Molecule: long non-coding RNA, 2540 nt
Organism: Dermochelys coriacea (leatherback sea turtle)
Lineage: Eukaryota; Metazoa; Chordata; Testudines; Dermochelyidae
Exons: 4
Source: RefSeq, a predicted model, not a curated record